Molecule: ribosomal RNA, 253 nt
Filed under: uncultured bacterium
Lineage: Bacteria
Description: partial 16S ribosomal RNA
Rfam family: Bacterial small subunit ribosomal RNA
Source: RNAcentral
UACGAGUGCCCCAAGCGUUAUCCGGAAUUAUUGGGCGUAAAGGGUGUGUAGGUGGUUUUGUUAGUCUUCUGUUAAAGCUCCGGGCAUAGCCCGGAAGAUGCAGAGGAAACGGCAAGACUAGAGGAUGUGAGAGGUUUGUGGAACUCAUGGUGUAGGGGUGAAAUCCGUUGAUAUCAUGGGGAACACCAAAAGCGAAGGCAGCAAACUGGCGCAUUCCUGACACUGAAACACGAAAGCGUGGGUAGCGAAUGGG